GAUCCUGGCUCAAAUUGAACGCUGGCGGCAUGCCUCCCUCUUGCAAGUCGAACGGCAGCGCGGGUGCUUGCACCUGGCGGCGAGUGGCGAACGGGUGAGUAAUACAUCGAAACGUGCCCUAAAGUGGGGGAUAACUAGUCAAAAGAUUAGCUAAUACCGCAUACAAUCUACGGAUGAAAGUGGGGGACCGCAAGGCCUCAUGCUCCUGGAGCGGCCGAUGUCUGAUUAGCUAGUUGGUGGGGUAAUGGCCUACCAAGGCAACAAUCAGUAGCUGGUCUGAGAGGACAACCAGCCACACUGGGACUGAGACACGGCCCAAACUCCUACGGGAGGCAGCAGUGGGGAAUUUUGGACAAUGGGGGCAACCCUGAUCCAGCAAUGCCGCGUGUGUGAAGAAGGCCUUCGGGUUGUAAAGCACUUUUGUCAGGAACGAAACGGUGGGGGCUAAUACCUUCUGCUAAUGACGGUACCUGAAGAAUAAGCACCGGCUAACUACGUG
Molecule: ribosomal RNA, 499 nt
Filed under: uncultured bacterium
Lineage: Bacteria
Description: bacterial SSU rRNA
Rfam family: Bacterial small subunit ribosomal RNA
Source: RNAcentral